Molecule: long non-coding RNA, 2393 nt
Filed under: Homo sapiens (human)
Lineage: Eukaryota; Metazoa; Chordata; Mammalia; Primates; Hominidae
Description: HSALNT0303339
Source: RNAcentral
GCCAUGUUUCCUGAACACAAAAUGGCGACACGUGGUUAGCAUUCGUCGCCAACGAGAAAUUGGGGUCGGCCCGAAAGCUCUAGAAUGCACCCCUCUUCCUCCCCGGGGCCUUCCACCUCCGCGAGUUUUAUGACUUAAAAAAGCCCACAGGCUGGUCUGAAGAGGAAGACAAACAUAAAGAUGAAGUGCUUAAUUCAAGGUCACACAAUGUCGGGGAUGGACCUCCAGAUUUCCUUACUGGUGAGACGUGGUCUUGUAACACAGUGGUUAAGAAUGUGACUUUGGAGCCAGCCUGCUAGGGGCUGAAUUCUGACUCAGCCAUUUACUAACUGUGUGACCUUAGGGAGGAGGACCUGGUUGAUAGAAGAAUUUAUCUCGUAGUCUUAACAUCCACUGUAAUUCCAAACUUUGAGGACGAUAGAGAUCAGUGGGCUUUGACUGCCCAGCAUGCAGUCUCCAUUCUUAGGUGGGUUCCCAAGCCUGUAAAAUGUAAGCCUUAUGCUGCUGAGGGCCAUCUUGCCACCCUGAGGGAAACGCUGCCUGAGAAUGAAACAAGCAUAAGUAAAAGCUGAGCUGUGAGAUGGAGCAAGAUGAAGGCCACAUGACAUCUUUGGAGCACCUGGAUCUAACUGUGCCUUAAGCUAGUCUAACCCUGAACAUUUCAUCAUUUCAUUGACAUGAGCCCAGGUUUUCUUUUUUUUUGGAUGGAGUCUUGCUCUGUCGCCCAGGCUGGAGUGCAGUAGCUCAAUCUCGGCUCACUGCAAGCUCCACCUCCCGGGUUCACGCCAUUCUCCUGCCUUAGCCUCCCAAGUAGCUGGGACAACAGGCGCCCACCACCACUCCCAGCUAAUUUUUUGUAUUUUUAGUAGAGACGGGGUUUUACCAUGUUAGCCGGGAUGGUCUUGAUCUCCUGACCUCAUGAUCCGCCCGCCUCGGCCUCCCAAAGUGCUGGGAUUACAGGUGUGAGCCACUGCACCCAGCCCUCAGGUUUUCCCUUUUUUUACCCCUCCUUUUGAAAAUUUGAUGUGGAAUUUUGCCACCUGCAGCCAGAAGAGUUUUAACUAAUCAGUGCCAUAAAUUUUAUAUAGUUCUCCUUGCAAAAUGUGGAUCAGCCUUUCUCAGCAAAUCCUUUGUCAUAAAGUGCUGAAUUGUAAGUUUGUCAUGAGAAUCACAUGAGAUCAUGCAUGUGAAGAACCUGGCAUUAUCCUCCUCAUAGAAAAAAACCAGUAAAUAUUAACUACAGGAAGCAAGGAAGGAGUGGGGUGAGGGGAAGAAGAAGGGGUACUGAUUUAAAAGAACCCUGGAGUCCUAAGGAUAAUCUAGGAACCCUCAGACCCAAUCCGAUACCCCUAUUCUAAAUGCUCCUAGUGCCCUGUACCUUCCCCUCAUAAGCCUUCAUUAUCAUUGUAAUGAUAUGUUUAUGUAAUAUUUUGAUUAAUGUCUCUCCUUCACUGACCUAGCAGUUCUAGCAGGGCAGUGAUUUUGCUGUGUUGCAUCCCCAGCACCUAGUCUGGUAUGUGGCAUUCAGCAUAUGUUUAUUGAAUGAAUGGCCAUGUGGUUAUUCAGAUCCUCCUUGAUUAUUGGGGUUAGGAUUGUGGCAGAAGUGGCAAAAUCAGGGAGAGUAGUCCCUGUCCCCUCUGUAUCUUAUACACUGCCCACACUCCCAACACACAUACACAUACAGAGAAUUUUGUCUCAAUUAGAUAAUUAACUUCUGCUUGGUUGUAAACCAAACCACUGGUUCUUAAACUUUCAUUGGAUCAUUUUAUUGAAGAAUUAAAUAGUGUGGUUCUGGCCUAAUGUCUGGAAAGCCUUGCAGAGGAGUGGAUUAGGUCUUUGUGAUAAACAGGCAGCCUUCCCUGCUCCUGUGUCUUUAUAAAAUCUAUUUAACUGGAGUAGUCCACCCUCCCUCAGGCUCUUACAGGAAUAUGUUGGAGGCUGUAGGAAGGUGGGAAACCGAGAGGGAAAGGACUGGGCCGCUGGAGACUUCACUCAUUCCCUAGCAAGAAACAAAAGCAGUAAAAGGUGGCCCGAGGACAACCUGAAGCUCACUCCUUCAGCACUUUUGGCUGGAGGUCACUUGUUGGAGCCCCACUCAGAGCUCAGCACACCACCCCACCAGCAGCCUCCUCCUCCCAGCUGAGGCUGCAUUUCAUCCCUUCCCCCAGCCUGCUUUCCCUGAGAUAGGGGAGUGUUUCCCAGGGCCCAUGUGACUUCCACUGGCAAGUGACGAUUACCAAUGGUUUACUAGUCAGUGAAACUACCAAAGGCUUUUGUGCUGUAGUAAUCCUUUUCCUGUUUAAAACUCUGGGGAUUUUCUAAUGUUGCCAAUAGUUUUUCAAGUCAGCAAUUACUGUGUGGAUUAUGUAAUGGCUCGGUAUUAAAAAUAGAAA